UGUACAACACGGUGACCUGAUAUUUGUACCCACUGCAAAAUGAUCAUCACAGUGAGUCUAGCUUCUGUUUGCGAAGUGAGCCGCUGCACUUCUGUUUCUCCAAACGCCCUUCUGUCUCCCUAGCCGCACGCCUGUUUACCUCCGCCUCAUUCUGACGGUUCUCUCGCCGUCUCUACACGGCAGGCUGCCGUCAGGUGCAUGCCUCAGCUGUCAUCCUCUGGACUAUGCAUAGAACUUGCUAAAUGGCCUCUGCGCUUAGAGCUGCACAAUAAAAAUGCUGACGAA
This is a long non-coding RNA of Suricata suricatta (meerkat), 285 nucleotides long. RefSeq lists it as uncharacterized. The transcript is spliced from 2 exons. The record is from RefSeq and is a predicted model, not a curated record. NCBI's taxonomy places the organism in Eukaryota, Metazoa, Chordata, Mammalia, Carnivora, Herpestidae.